UCGGAAAAAGAACCAACAGGGUAUUGCCUCAGUAACGGCGAGUGAAGCGGCAAAAGCUCAAAUUUUAAAGCUGGCACUUCCGGUGUCCGCGUUGUAAUUUUGUGAGGCAUCUCCGGGUAGGGCGCCGGCCUAAGUUCCUUGGAACAGGACGUCAUAGAGGGUGAGAAUCCCGUGCUUGGCUGGCUGUCCCCGUCCAUGUGAGGUGUCUUCGACGAGUCGAGUUGUUUGGGAAUGCAGCUCAAAAUGGGUGGUAAAUUUCAUCUAAAGCUAAAUAUUGGUGGGAGACCGAUAGCGCACAAGUAGAGUGAUCGAAAGAUGAAAAGCACUUUGAAAAUAGAGUUAAAAAGUACGUGAAAUUGUUGAAAGGGAAGCGCUUGAGACCAGACUUCGGUGGGGAGUGAUCAGCCGUCCUUCUGGGCGGUGCACUUGCUCCCCUCCGGGCCAGCAUCGGUUGGGACGGCGGGAUAAAGGUCCCGGGAAUGUGGCUCCUUUCGGGGAGUGUUAUAGCCCAGGUGAAUGCCGCCAGCCCCGACCGAGGACCGCGCCUUCGGGCUAGGAUGCUUGGCAUAAUGGUCUUCAGCGACCCGUCUUGAAACACGGACCAAGGAGUCUAACAUCUAUGCGAGUGUUUGGGUGUCAAACCCUUACGCGAAAUGAAAGUGAACGGAGGUGGGAACCCGCAAGGGUGCACCAUCGACCGGUCCCGAAGUCUUCUGAAGGAUCUGAGUAGGAGCAUAGCUGUUGGGACCCGAAAGAUGGUGAACUAUGCCUGAAUAGGGUGAAGCCAGAGGAAACUCUGGUGGAGGCUCGCAGCGGUUCUGACGUGCAAAUCGAUCGUCAAAUUUGGGUAUAGGGGCGAAAGACUAAUCGAACCAUCCCUGUUGGGU
Molecule: ribosomal RNA, 887 nt
Rfam family: Eukaryotic large subunit ribosomal RNA